RNAcentral lists this ribosomal RNA (252 nucleotides) under uncultured bacterium. Its description in RNAcentral is "partial 16S ribosomal RNA". It matches the Rfam family "Bacterial small subunit ribosomal RNA", at positions 525 to 776 of the family's 1533-position model. The record is from RNAcentral.
ACGGAGGGUGCAAGCGUUGUCCGGAUUUAUUGGGUUUAAAGGGUACGUAGGCGGAAUGUUAAGUCCGAGGUGAAAGCCCACCGCUCAACGGUGGAACUGCCUUGGAUACUGACAAUCUUGAGUGCCGUAGAGGUAGGCGGAAUUCAUGGUGUAGCGGUGAAAUGCAUAGAUACCAUGAGGAACACCGAUAGGGAAGCCAGCUUACUGGACGGUUACUGACGCUGAGGUACGAAAGCGUGGGGAGCGAACAGG